This is a regulatory RNA element of Mycobacterium sp., 71 nucleotides long. It matches the Rfam family "Actino-pnp RNA". NCBI's taxonomy places the organism in Bacteria, Bacillati, Actinomycetota, Actinomycetes, Mycobacteriales, Mycobacteriaceae. The record is from Rfam.
GGCGGUCUUCGGUAGUGGCAGCCGGGUCUGAACGUUCGUGCAGGAUCCGGCCGCUUCGAUCGACGACCGUA